Dendronephthya gigantea is the source of this 198-nucleotide long non-coding RNA. RefSeq lists it as uncharacterized. Lineage: Eukaryota; Metazoa; Cnidaria; Anthozoa; Malacalcyonacea; Nephtheidae. The transcript has 3 exons. The record is from RefSeq and is a predicted model, not a curated record.
AAAUAUGGCGUUUUACCGCCAUGCAUACAUAGCUAUUCACAGCCCAAGAAUUACUCAGAAUUACAACAGAUUGAUAACAUGUAAAAUUGGGACGAUUCGAAGACAACAGAGUACCAAAAAAGCAAAAAGAUAUGGAAUUUCUAAAAUAUAUCUUGCUAUGGAACGAAUAUUCAAUAUGUUAGUGUACCAAAUAAAAAC